AUAGCUGACCGGACUACGGCACAGCUUACCUACGAUCAUGGAAGCCACGAACUAAUACACGUCCAUGGUUAUACCACCUUUUAACAGAAUGUAAACAAGUCCAUGUUGUUAGUGAAUGCAGAAACAAAAUGAGGGCCUAAUUCAAACGGCAGCGGUUGCACUUACUUUUUUCUGUCUGGAAUAAAUAACUCAUAAAUUCUCAUCAUGUCAUUCUCUGGGAAGAAACAAAACUUUCGUCACACCCUUAAAUUUAGCUUUUACAGACCAGACAUCUUGUGAUGAGAUUUACAGAAAGUGACAAAAGACCAGAAAGUAUGUGGCUGUCAUCACCAUAAUUUCCAACAACGGG
Molecule: long non-coding RNA, 349 nt
Organism: Pomacea canaliculata
Lineage: Eukaryota; Metazoa; Mollusca; Gastropoda; Architaenioglossa; Ampullariidae
Exons: 2
Source: RefSeq, a predicted model, not a curated record